GGCUCCGUAGCUUGGUGGAAAGAAGCGCCCAUCUAGCGAAUUGGAAGUCGUGGGUUUGAUUCCCACCGAAGCAC
Molecule: non-coding RNA, 74 nt
Organism: Aedes albopictus (Asian tiger mosquito)
Lineage: Eukaryota; Metazoa; Arthropoda; Insecta; Diptera; Culicidae
Source: Rfam